AUAAAUUAUAAGUGGAGAAGAAGGAGUUAUUGGCUUCAAAAUUAUGAAAUGGAUGAAGUUUGUCUUUGGUAUCCUGCCCUCCUCAUUGUGCCAUGUCCAGUGGCCUCAGUGUCUUUCCUCGUCCUCCUUAAAACGUCAUUAGAAACUGAUAAUAGUUAUUCCAAUACCAAAUAUUACAAAUCAUCAGUUUCCUUCCCUUGAGGGCAUUUGCAUUUUCAACGUUACCUGUAGGAGUAGAAAGGAGACUGGUGCCUGACUGAAGGGAUUUGAAUCUUUUUUAUGCAGGGCAAGAAAAUGUUUAGAGUUAAAAGGAAGCCCUUUCCUAACACCCUAAAAUUAGCCACUAGUAUUUAGAUUUUAUUUUCCUUUUUUAUGAACAACGAGUUUUGAAUCUAUCCAAUUGAAAAGAUGAGCAUAUUUGAAUACAUGCAUGGGUGCUUUGAGAGCUAUGCAUGUCUCUAAGAAGACCAACAGAAUGAAUUCCAGGGCACCUGGCAAGAAUGUAAUGUUACAUGCUGCAAGUCUGGAUAUAGAUCAGCACCGCUGUAUUACGUAGUUUCAAUAACUAAAAUUAGGGUAAAAUUAUUAAAUAUUAAAAAAUAAGAUAAAUUUGAAUAUGAUUUAAAAGCCUGUGGAACCUGUGGGACGGAAGCACCUGAGUUCUCAUGAAUCAGAAACCAUCCUAUCUACCUGAAGUAUGGACUUUUGAGAACAUAAGAAACAGCUGGCUCUUCUUACUUUUCAUUUGAAAAGGUGGAAAACAGUGGGAAUCUUGAAUUUAAAACCGCAGUUUUCUACAAGCAAAACUGACCGGCCAAGAGGACAAGUGGUCUAGUUCAUGCAGGACCGGCCCAGUGGCAUAGUGGUUAAGUUUGUGCACUCUGCUUCAGUGGCCCAGGGUUUGCAGGUUCGGAUCCUGGGUGUGGACCUAACACCACUCAUC
Equus caballus (horse) is the source of this 943-nucleotide long non-coding RNA. Lineage: Eukaryota; Metazoa; Chordata; Mammalia; Perissodactyla; Equidae. The record is from Ensembl.